AUUCUGAAUGACCAUGCCUUGUGAACUGUUUUGCUCCUAUCAGCACUGGAAUGGACAGGCACACAGGUCGCCUGGUAACUAAGGCUUGUGAUGUUCUUCUAGCUCACUUGCAUACCAGAAGAGAUGGACUGGAUUGCAAUAAGGAAACUACUAGACAAAACGAGGAACCAUUCAUCACAGAUGAGAUGAGAACCAAGAAAAGAAAGAAAAAUUAACAACCCUGUAGUUCAUUACAUCUACUUUCUUACAAUGAACAGAAGCAAUAUACAG
This is a long non-coding RNA of Varanus komodoensis (Komodo dragon), 270 nucleotides long. RefSeq lists it as uncharacterized. The transcript is spliced from 3 exons. NCBI's taxonomy places the organism in Eukaryota, Metazoa, Chordata, Lepidosauria, Squamata, Varanidae. The record is from RefSeq and is a predicted model, not a curated record.